AUACUUACCUGGCAGGGGAGACACCAUGAUCAGGCAGGUGGUUUUCCCAGGGCGAGGCUCAUCCCUUGCACUCCGGGUGUGCUGACCCCUGCGAUUUCCCAGGUUGCCCAGAGAUGUUGUGGAUGCCCCAUCCCUGGAUGUCUUCA
Non-coding RNA from Eurypyga helias (sunbittern), 146 nucleotides. The record is from Rfam. NCBI's taxonomy places the organism in Eukaryota, Metazoa, Chordata, Aves, Eurypygiformes, Eurypygidae.